Brienomyrus brachyistius is the source of this 277-nucleotide long non-coding RNA. RefSeq lists it as uncharacterized. The transcript is spliced from 2 exons. Lineage: Eukaryota; Metazoa; Chordata; Actinopteri; Osteoglossiformes; Mormyridae. The record is from RefSeq and is a predicted model, not a curated record.
GCUUGGGAAAUGUGGCAGUUUCGAGACCUAACAAUCUGAGAAAGCUUGUCAUCCUCCUAAGGACGUAGGCUUCAAAGACUAAAAAGAAUGAUGAGUUCUUGAUAUUCACAGCUGAGCCUGCCAUCUUGUGGCCAAGGACAUUCAUUAAAUAUACAGUACACACAAGUUUCAACUUGUGAUAUGGAAAAGUUCAGGCAGUCCAGACUUGUGAAGUCUAAGAAGCUGAAUUCUCUACUGGAGAAAACAACAAGUUGAAUAAAUUACUGUUACUCUGCAA